UCCCUUAGUAGCGGCGAGCGAAGCGGGAGAAGCUCAAGUUUGAAAUCGGGUCCUGCCCGGAGUUGUAAGCUGGAGGGACGUCUGCCUAAGACGCCCGGGCUCAAUUUGCUUGGAACAGCAAGUCACUGAGGGUGAGAACCCCGUCCGUGGCCCGGUGAUUGGCCUUACAGUGCGGCGGCCCCAAUGAGUCGGGUUGUUUGGGAAUGCAGCUCAAAAUGGGUGGUAAAUUUCAUCUAAAGCUAAAUAUUGGCAAGAGACCGAUAGCGAACAAGUAGAGUGAUCGAAAGAUGAAAAGCACUUUGAAAAGAGAGUGAAACAGUGCGUGAAAUUGUUGAAAGGGAAGCGCUUGGCAUCAGCCCAUGACUUUUGUCCAUCAUCCUGGCUUCUGCCUGGUGCAAUGGUCAAGAGUUGGGCCAGCGUUUGGCUCCUUCCGCCCUAGAAAGGCCUUGGGGACGUGGCUCCAUCUGGAGCGUUAUAACCCUUGGCGGCAUGGGGUGAGAUGGGGCCGAGGUCCGCGGCAUAGCCCAGGACGCUGGCGUAAUGGUCCCAAGCGACCCGUCUUGAAACACGGACCAAGGAGUCUAACAUCUAUGCGAGUGUUUGGGUGUCAAGCCCGGCCGCGCAAUGAAAGUGAAAGGGGCGGGAGCCUAGAGGCGCACCGUCGACCGGUCCGGAGGUUUACCAAAGGAUCCGAGUGAGAGCAUAGCUGUUGGG
This 714-nucleotide ribosomal RNA is filed under the name uncultured Archaeorhizomycetes. Its description in RNAcentral is "eukaryotic LSU rRNA". It matches the Rfam family "Eukaryotic large subunit ribosomal RNA", at positions 76 to 813 of the family's 3401-position model. The record is from RNAcentral. Lineage: Eukaryota; Fungi; Ascomycota; Archaeorhizomycetes.